RNAcentral lists this ribosomal RNA (253 nucleotides) under uncultured bacterium. RNAcentral describes it as "partial 16S ribosomal RNA". It matches the Rfam family "Bacterial small subunit ribosomal RNA", at positions 524 to 776 of the family's 1533-position model. The record is from RNAcentral.
UACAGAGGUCUCAAGCGUUGUUCGGAAUUACUGGGCGUAAAGGGUGCGCAGGUGGUCUUGUAAGUCGAAUGUGAAAGCCCGGCGCUCAACGCCGUAAUUGCAUACGAUACUGCGGGACUUGAGUUUUGAAGAGGGAUCUAGAAUUCACGGUGUAGCAGUGAAAUGCGUAGAUAUCGUGAGGAAUACCAAUGGCGAAAGCAGGAUCCUGGACAAAUACUGACACUAAUGCACGAAGGCCAAGGUAGCAAACGGG